This 463-nucleotide ribosomal RNA is filed under the name uncultured bacterium. RNAcentral's name for it is "partial 16S ribosomal RNA". It matches the Rfam family "Bacterial small subunit ribosomal RNA", at positions 28 to 507 of the family's 1533-position model. The record is from RNAcentral.
GAUGAACGCUGACAGAAUGCUUAACACAUGCAAGUCGAUGGGGAAGUGGUGCUUGCACCAUGGUAACCAUGGCGGACGGGUGAGUAACGCGUAAGGAACUUGCCUGCGGGACUGGGAUAACAGCAGGAAACUGCUGAUAAUACCGGAUAAGGUCAUUAAGCUGCAUAGCUUAGUGAUGAAAGGAGACGCCUGCGGAGAGCCUUGCGUACUAUUAGCUAGUUGGAGGGGUAACGGCCCACCAAGGCGAAGAUAGGUAGCCGGCCUGAGAGGGUGGACGGCCACGAGGGGACUGAGAUGCGGCCCUUACUACUACGGGAGGCAGCAGUGGGGAAUAUUGGACAAUGGGGGCGACCCUGAUCCAGCAAUUCUGUGUGCACGAAGACGGUUUUCGGAUUGUAAAGUGCUUUCAGCAGAGAAGAAGGAAGUGACGGUACCUGCAGAAGAAGCGACGGCUAAAUACGUG